AGGUAGUGACAAGAAAUAACAAUACGGGGCUUAAUGUCUUGUAAUUGGAAUGAUGGGAAUUUAAACCUCUUCCAGAGUAUCAAUUGGAGGGCAAGUCUGGUGCCAGCAGCCGCGGUAAUUCCAGCUCCAAUAGCGUAUAUUAAAAUUGUUGCAGUUAAAAAGCUCGUAGUUGAAUUUCUGCUGCAUUUCAUUUCUCUUUCUGAGUUUGUUUUUGCGGCUUAUUUCGGUUUGAUUUUUUCUUUCCGGAUGAUUACUUUGAGAAAAUUAGAGUGCUCAAAGCAGGCUUUUGCCUUGAAUAGUUUAGCAUGGAAUAAUAAAGUAGGACUUUGGUUCUAUUUUGUUGGUUUUAGGUACCAAAGUAAUGGUUAAUAGGAACAGUUGGGGGCAUUCGUAUUUAACUGUCAGAGGUGAAAUUCUUAG
This 420-nucleotide ribosomal RNA is filed under the name Theileria sp. RNAcentral's name for it is "SSU rRNA". It matches the Rfam family "Eukaryotic small subunit ribosomal RNA", at positions 462 to 923 of the family's 1831-position model. Lineage: Eukaryota; Apicomplexa; Aconoidasida; Piroplasmida; Theileriidae. The record is from RNAcentral.